CGCCGACCCUUCCUGCUGCUUGGCGCGCGCUGCCCGCGGAGGGCCGAUAAACCAGGCAGCGCGCCACCCUAGGUUAAUAAAUGUUUAUAUUUGGUCAGAGUAGGUUUUGGUGGCGUAAAUCUCUCAAUCCCGCUCCCCAUGGGGUGGGAGGGGUGCCAGUGCCUCCCCUGCGGGCAGGGAGAUGGCAACCGCUGCGUCGUCGGCAGCGGAGGUUCGUGGUGGGUUGAAGUCACAUAAUUCUUGGCACGGUGGUUUGUUUGUUCCAGCUUCAGGACCUCUGAAUAUAUGGAAUGCAGGAAACAGAACAUCAGAAGAUGUUCAAAAUGUUGGUGAUAUAAGCUCCCGUGUUAUCCAUGAGAUUAAGGCUAAUAUAGGUCCAAGACUAGACGGCAAACAUUAAGUGCUCUUGGAUGCUGAAUCCCAGACAGCCGGGCUAGGUACCAGCGCAGGUAAAAACGGGGAGUGGUUUGCACACACUGAACAGUCUGGGAACUACUGUUCUCUGAGCAUGAGUAAUUCUGUUUGGCGUAACUGGUGCAAAACCCAGCGCAAACGAGUCUUCUGUAGAGCCCCAUGCCAAAUGCUGAAACGAAAUCGUUCCUGAAGGAUUGUCAUCCGCUUUUACCCACUGGAGCCCUGGCAGAUUGGCAAGAACAGAACUGUCAUGACUUUCCUGUGAUGCUGUGAGCCGCCCAUUGGAACAAAGCUCUGGCGAAGACACAACCCAGAGAUGACCAGCUCCAUCCUUUUGUUUCCUCUUAUGAUAUGAUCUAUAUAAUUCCGCACCUUCACCUCUGGGAUUCUCUUCUACCUUUGCUUCCUGCGCAUACACAGCUGAAGAGUGGGGCAAUCAGCCAUACAGAUUUACUAAAAUAGUUCAAGGUCUUUAUCUCAAGCCAGUCUUGCAGGCCAGAGGCUCUCCAGCUGUCUAUGGCUAAGACCCUGCUUUUGCCAUUAGCAGCCUGGCGAUGGCCAUGCUUACAUGAGCCUAGUCAAAGUUCUCUUGCUGUCACAUGUAGCAGUGAAAACCUUGUUUAAAUUCCAGAGCACGUUUGGCUUUAUUGAGGUCCACAGGGGUUCUCAGGUUUGUUCAGAUUUCUUCACGCUUUGCAAGGGAGAAGGAUCCUUCUUUCCGGUUCUCUUCCCGGACCCUUCCCAGCAGAAGGGUCCCAGGCUGGCUAAGAAGACUUGGGAGUAUUCCUUCAAAUUCUUCUGUUUUUACGUUCCCCAAAGCCAUUUCCUGAAAGAGGUGAUUAUACUGAGGGAAGUCUAUGCAUUUAUACAAUGGCUUAUUUAAGGCUUACGUCAGAUCUUGUGCUCUGUGUACCAUUGCCAGCCUGCGUGACUGCUUCCACAAAGUUUUAUUUGUCCACAAGAUUUUCUUGGUUGAAUGUUUGUGUGCUGAUGGCAGUGUAUAGUAGUGGAGAGAGUUUAUGCAGUGGUUCAGAGUACUUUUCCUCACCCUGCUGUUACAGGGCGCAUUGACAAAACACAGUAUCUGACUGUGUUCUGUGGCUGACGUUUCCAGCUUGCUGUCCUCUGCCCAGGAGUGGUGGCAGUUGUACACAGAUGACAUACUACCUUGACAGUGCUUUGCCUAUUGAACCCAGCACCUUACUGCUCCUACUGUAGUAUACCUCACCCUGAAGGGAAGUGUUUUGGUUUUUAGGGCCCUUAUACGUCGCUUUGUAACUGGAAUAUACGUGAGAUUUUAUUAAAACAAAAACACGGUACUUUUCAUGUAUAAUGUUAUCUCUGCUUUCCACUGCCUUCAGACAAUUAAAACGUACCUGUCAGUUUCCUUUCCAUUUAGUGGCUUUGUCAGGUCCUAGGCACAGAAGCUCAGAGGAACUUAGAGUAUACCUUUGGGACGUGGAACUCCAUGGGAACACGAGGCUGAAGAGUUUGUAAUUCUGAUCAGAUUUUUAUUUGUUUAUGACCUGAGGUCUCAAGAUAUUUGAAAGUAUCCCUUCACGUUACUGUCUGAAAUUGAUUAUUCCCUAUGCAGCGUAAGCAUCUUCUACAUGUGCAAAAUCUAUCAUAAUACCAAACAGAAAUUUAUAUAUCAGCUAGAAGCACUAGACAUUAUCUGGUCAAUAAAAUGUGUCAAAGUCUUU
Struthio camelus australis is the source of this 2117-nucleotide non-coding RNA. Lineage: Eukaryota; Metazoa; Chordata; Aves; Struthioniformes; Struthionidae. The record is from RefSeq and is a predicted model, not a curated record.